CAUUCUUAACAUAUCAUCGAAAGGUCUGCUUACGGACGGGAUCAAAUGAUUGAAGUAAGUGGGCCUGUGGGCUUGUAUGAAAAGUUCGACCAUCUCUUUCUCAUCAAUCAGGGUAUGGAUUCAAGCAUUGCUCCCACCAUAUGAGCCCAAACUCUAUAAAGAUUUCCCCUGGCUUUUUUUCCAUUCCAGAUAAGGAGGAACGGUCCGCGAAUAGUUCUUUCAGCUUCUUGGAUUCCCUAUCUGUCCCUUCUCUUUCUGUGAACCUUUCAUUUUCAAUACGAGGCUUAUCUUGCGGCCAUUUUUUUGCAAGUUGGAAAUCUAAUGAGUAAACUUGGAGGUGUAACAUUGGGCAUCACGAGCUCUGGGUAUGUGUUCUUUGUCGAGAAUAGUGGAUGUGGCCGGAAGGAACCAUUGGAAAAAGAUAGUCGGAUAAUGAGUGAUGGAGUUACCAGAGUGGUUGGGAAAGUUGUUAUAAGCGGAUAGAGA
Molecule: long non-coding RNA, 486 nt
Filed under: Nicotiana benthamiana
Lineage: Eukaryota; Viridiplantae; Streptophyta; Magnoliopsida; Solanales; Solanaceae
Description: long non-coding RNA (NBEN_LNC016384)
Source: RNAcentral